CCAUUUAAAAAAAAAAGCAUGUUAGACUAUCCAUUUAACAAAAAAAGUAAAAAGGAAAAAAAAACAAAUAAAGUGCUGGAAGUCUAUUAUUGCUGGCGUGAAGAAUGGACCAUAGAAGGUGAGAAUAAGAGAAGAAAGAGAGAUUGAAGAAAAGAAAAUUAAAAAGAAAAAAAAAACCCUGGAUUGCAUUAGGUGUCGGACCUGCUUGCAUGUUGUGCAGCGCAGGUGAAAGGAGAAGAAAAUAGAAGAAGAGAA
Molecule: unclassified non-coding RNA, 255 nt
Filed under: Hevea brasiliensis (rubber tree)
Lineage: Eukaryota; Viridiplantae; Streptophyta; Magnoliopsida; Malpighiales; Euphorbiaceae
Source: RNAcentral